GGGUAAUCCUCCAAUCUCCAAUUCCUUGCUCAUGGUGCACUUCUUCAUUCUUCUGUACCUCUAAUUGUCAGUCUGUAGCUUUAUCCUCUUCUCAUACUCCUUGGGUUUGCCAAUCCUUAACUCACUUAAAAAACACCUUUUCUUCUCAUAGUUUGAAUGUUGAUCAACAAAUUCAAGCAUUUUUUCUUAUCUCAGCUUAUAAUUUAGCAGUGAUUUCUCCUUCUUCGUUUCGUGUGCUGUUAUCUCUUCAAGGGGAUUCGUCAUUUGUGUCGGAAAGUGAUGUUCUUUUGCUUCAUUCUCUCGUUGCUACGUGCCCGUCGUUGAAUCUUGGUGAAUUUGGGUUCUCUAAAGAGCUUACUGCUGCUCUUUUGGCUAAGGAUAAGGUGAAUGCAUUUGGGUUGAUGGAACCUUUUGAGGUUGAUAGAGA
Molecule: unclassified non-coding RNA, 427 nt
Filed under: Hevea brasiliensis (rubber tree)
Lineage: Eukaryota; Viridiplantae; Streptophyta; Magnoliopsida; Malpighiales; Euphorbiaceae
Source: RNAcentral